CAAAAUUUUUUUUAAUAAAAUAUUUAAAAAUUGACUUGAUGUGUAGUUGUUUUGACAAAUGCAGUCAUAUAAUCACUAUAAUUAUGACAAAACAGUUCUAUCAUCCUCUAAAACAUUCUCUGCUGAUUAACUCCAUCUUUUAUGCUGGCAACCAGUGCUGUUCUAUCACAGUAUCAAAGUCAGCAAACUUUCUGGAAGGGGCCAUAUGUAAAUACUUUAUAGUUUUUUUGUAGUCUCUGUUGCCACCUGUUUGCUGUGGUAGUACAAAAAGCAGUCAUAGGUAAUAUUUAAAGAAAGCUGGAUGUUGUGGUGUAUGUAUCUGUAAUCAUAACACUUGAGAGGUGAAGGCAGGAUUGCUGUGAAGUCCCAGGCCAGCCUGGGCUACAUACUGAGUUCCUCAAUUACACAGUGAAACCCUAUCUGAAAAAAAAAAAAAAGACAGAACAUGGUUGUAUUUUAGUUGAACUAGUAAAACUUUUAUUUCUGGACACUGAAAUUUGAAUUUUAUCUAAUUUGCACAUGUCAACUCAUUUAAGAAUAUAAACACCUCUUACCUUUUACGCUGUAUAAAACAAGACUGAAUUUGGCCCAUAAGUCCUAGCUUGUUGACACAUCUUUUCUGUCUUAUAAGUGGAGUCACAUAGUAUAUAGCAUGUGCCUGGCAUUUUAUUUAGUAGUGUUUGGAAUUUUUAGAAAGUGUUUGGAAUGUAGUUGCAGGUGUCAACAGUCAUUUUAUUGCUGAGUAGGAUCCCACCCUAUGGAUGUACCAGUUACCCAUUCUCCAGGUACAUACACAGUGCUCUGUUUAGAUUACAUCCAGUUUUAAUGGUUAUAGUCAGCUGUAUACACACUGUAUAGGUUUUGGGUAAACAGGGUUUCAUUUCACUUGGCACAAACUUAUGAGUGGAAGCUGUACAAAUUUACAAACAGCUACAAAUCUAGUUCCAAGAGUGGCUGUGCCAUUUUUCACUCCAGCCAGCAACAAGUGUGUUCCAGUUGUGUUGUAAUUCUCCACAAAACUUAGUGCGAGUUUUGAGUUUUAUAUAUUCCUAAUACACACCUAUUGUUGGAGAAACGAUUUGCAAACAUUUUUUCCCAGCCUGUGGCUCAUCUGAUCAUACUCUUUUAAAAAAAUUUUUAUUUGGAAAAAAGAUGGAAAAGAAAGGAUAGUCAACUCCAGGGGGUGGUAGGGGGCAUCAGACCUGAAAGCCCCUUGUCAUUCUCUUAACUGCUUUGUUCAGAGUUCUUACUUUUGAGAAGCCCUGUUGAUUAGUUUUUUUCUCUUAUAAUCGGAUCAUGCCUUUGGUGUCCUGGCUAAAAUGCAUUGCUAGACCUGGUCACAAAUCUUUUUCUGUCAGUCUGUCUCUUGGCAGGACAGAUGCUGCUUCUGGGUAUGACCAACUUAAGCAUCCUUAACCCACCACAUGCACUUCAGGUCCAGUUAUUUAGGGGAGUACCUCUUUGGUUCCUGCUAGAACAUGUGCUUAGUCAUAGUAACUUUUGACUGUUUCCUUACCAUCUCUCUAGCCUCUGUACUCCUUCCAUCUCACAUGCUGCUAUUUGAUUAGCAAAAUGAUUUCAUGAAGAUUAACAUCCUUCUGAGUGUUAAAAAUAGCUGAUAUUUGCAUAAGCCACUGAAGGCUGAGCCUUUCUAUGUGUGCUGUGCAUACUGAAUCCUCACAACUUACACACUAAAAGUCAUCUUUUACCAGGAAGGGAAUGGGAAGAUCAGGUUUUAAGACACACCUAGAAAAUGGUGGAAAUGGGCCUGAGAUCUCUGACUAGACCCUUAAGUGGACCAUGGAGCUGAAACAGUAGUGUUUACACACUGUUGGGUAGAUUCCCAGGUUGGUAUUCAAGGUCCUUGAUACUGAUCUCACUCUGUGUUCCAGUACUCUCCUGCGUCAACCUUCACGUGCUGCCAGGCUCCUGUAUCCUCUAUGAAAACCUAAAUAUUCAUCACACCACCCUAUCAGGGAGCUGCCCUCUGGAAUCCUUUCUUAAUUCAUGUAACAGUUACUGUCAUGCAUUGCUUUUACUUUUAGGUCUCUCCAUUCAAACCGUGACUGUUUCUAGCCAUUCAGUAAAUGACAGCAAAUAGGAAAAUAACAAGGCCAGGCCAUAGUAAAUAUAUCAUUACAGAUCUCUGUGUGUAUAUGUAUGCUGUGCUGGGAACUGAACCCACAGCCUCAUGCGUGGGGUCAGACCCACAGGCACAAGCACUGAGCCACUUCCUUGGGCCUUUUUUAGAGACAAGAUCUUGCUAAGUUGUGUUGGGCUCCAACUUACAAUCCUCCUGUCUCAGCUUCCCAAGUGCUGGGAUUACAGCUGUGUACCAGCUUCUGAGUCUUAUGAUUUUGACUGGCAUAUCACAGGGCCAGUGGGCACAAAGGGGGUUCCUACUUUUGGAUACUAAGUAGUGUAAGAGUCUAGAUACAUUAAGAAAUAAUUACAUCUUAGUAUAUGUGCAGGCCAAAGCAAGCAUGAAAUAACUACAUCUUGAUGUCUUUUUGUUUUUUUUUUAAAGGGCUAUGGAACAACAGAUCAAAGUGUUGAGUAAUUCCCAACUAAUGUUGGUGAUUAUAGAUAACUUAAAUGACAAAUCGAGCUUGCUUUAGCAACAAUAAAUAUCCUAAGGAUUUUUAGCUGCUCCCACCUCCCAGUAUUAGGAAUCAAACCAACAGGGACUCUACCACUGAGGUAUAUCCCCAGAAUUGUUUUUUCUUUCUUUCUGAGAUGGUCUUGCUGAGUUGCCUAGCCUAGUUUUCAACUCGCAGUCCUCUUGCCGCAGCAUCCUAAAUAGCUGGGAUUACAGACGUGUGCUACCACACGCAGCUAUUUUUGAGUUUCUUAAUCUAACCUUCUUUCCUUUCCUAAUACCACCCAUUCUUUUGAGUAUAGCAGAAGUCAAAAACAGCCCAGAGUGAGACCAUUCAGGGAUUUCAGAGCAGCACACUGUACCAUAUUUCACUGUAUCAACUGAGCCAGGCUAAAGAAGCUAAGACACCAGCCAGGCUAAGAACCAGGAUGUGGCAGGCUUGGGUUCCCACACAACACAGAGCUCAAGGCCUUACCAUGACAGAUGCAGGAGGGCAGCUUUUCAAUUUAUUCUUCGUAGAUGUGGGUGUGGGAAUAAUCAACUCACCCACAUGCUACCUUGGUUCUCCCUCCUGUCCAGCUCAUCCCUGAGCUCCGGGUCCUGAAGCAGUGCUUACCCUGCUGAAUGCCUCCUUCAAGCCUGAAGAAGGCUAUGAGCUCCAUCCCUGAAGGUAUGGAAACCAACCUCAGAAUCUCUGCACGUAACAGUGCCCAAAUAGACAUAAAUGAAUGCUAAUAUACAAAUAGAGCAAACCAUUUUUCCUGUUGCUUGACAGGUUUGUGGAUGCUGCCUUCAAAGAGCCCCCAGUCCUCUCCGGCCCAUGCACAGUUCUCCUGGCUUCUGCCCCCCGUUUACACUGCAGACAGAAGACUCCCAGACACAAGGUCUCUGUCCCCCAAAGAUCUUACCAUGAAAGCUCACCAGACCUUGAGCUAAAGCUUGGACUUCUAGAACACUUGGACAGCUUACUGUGCUGCUGAAUUUGCAACUGGCCUGGCUGGAUCCUUACUCUCAUGUCCCCAGUGCCCAGAUGGGGAUAAGCUCAUACCCAGAUCCGUCCUGCCUCUGCAUCCUGGCCUGGAAAAAACCGAGUUUCACAGCCUCCACCAGAUCCCGCCUAUUUACUAUGACCAGGUCAGCCCUGGCAGCAAACAAACUGCAUCUAUAUUUGCAAUAGUAAGUGGAUGGAGUGAUGGUGCCACACAAUCAGGCAAAUCACAGGCAUCUGAGGACAAAAAGCAUGCUCAGAG
Molecule: long non-coding RNA, 3849 nt
Organism: Chinchilla lanigera (long-tailed chinchilla)
Lineage: Eukaryota; Metazoa; Chordata; Mammalia; Rodentia; Chinchillidae
Exons: 3
Source: RefSeq, a predicted model, not a curated record